UACGGGGGGAGCAAGCGUUGUUCGGAUUUACUGGGCGUAAAGGGCGCGUAGGCGGCCAGCACACGUCAGUUGUGAAAUCUCCGAGCUUAACUCGGAAAGGUCAACUGAUACUGUGCGGCUAGAGUGCGGAAGGGGCAACUGGAAUUCUUGGUGUAGCGGUGAAAUGCGUAGAUAUCAAGAGGAACACCUGCGGCGAAGGCGGGUUGCUGGGCCGACACUGACGCUGAUGCGCGAAAGCUAGGGGAGCGAACGGG
RNAcentral lists this ribosomal RNA (254 nucleotides) under uncultured bacterium. Its description in RNAcentral is "partial 16S ribosomal RNA". It matches the Rfam family "Bacterial small subunit ribosomal RNA", at positions 524 to 776 of the family's 1533-position model. The record is from RNAcentral.